AACGAACGCUGGCGGCAUGCCUAACACAUGCAAGUCGAACGAGAACUUCGGGACGAGUGGCGCACGGGUGCGUAACGCGGGGGAACCGGCCCUUAGGUUAUGAAUAACUCCCUGAAAGGGGGGCUAAUACCGGAAAAUGUUGUUGGUCCAAAGAUCUAUCGCCUUUGGAUGGGCCCGCGUGGGAUUAGCUAGUUGGUAGGGUUAAAGCCUACCAAGGCGACGAGCCAUAGCUGGUCUGAGAGGAUGAUCAGCCACACUGGGACGGAGACAGGGCCCAGACUCCUACGAGGGGCGGCAGUGGGGAAUAGUGGACCCUGGGCGAAAGCCUGAUCCAGCAGUGCCGCGUGAGUGAUUAAGGCGUUCGGGUUGUAAAGCUCUUUUACCCGGGAUGAUAAUGACAGUACCGAGAGAAUAAGCACCGGCUAACUCCGU
This 432-nucleotide ribosomal RNA is filed under the name uncultured bacterium. Its description in RNAcentral is "partial 16S ribosomal RNA". It matches the Rfam family "Bacterial small subunit ribosomal RNA", at positions 29 to 506 of the family's 1533-position model. The record is from RNAcentral.